Molecule: ribosomal RNA, 483 nt
Filed under: uncultured bacterium
Lineage: Bacteria
Description: partial 16S ribosomal RNA
Rfam family: Bacterial small subunit ribosomal RNA
Source: RNAcentral
GACGAACGCUGGCGGCGUGCUUAACACAUGCAAGUCGAACGCUGAAGCUCAGCUUUUGUUGGGUGGAUGAGUGGCGAACGGGUGAGUAACACGUGAGUAACCUGCCCCCUUCUUUGGGAUAACGCCCGGAAACGGGUGCUAAUACUGGAUAUUCACUGGUCUUCGCAUGGGGGUUGGUGGAAAGGGUUUUUCUGGUGGGGGAUGGGCUCGCGGCCUAUCAGCUUGUUGGUGGGGUGAUGGCCUACCAAGGCUUUGACGGGUAGCCGGCCUGAGAGGGUGACCGGUCACAUUGGGACUGAGAUACGGCCCAGACUCGUACGGGAGGCAGCAGUGGGGAAUAUUGCACAAUGGGCGCAAGACUGAUGCAGCGACGCCGCGUGAGGGAUGGAGGCCUUCGGGUUGUGAACCUCUUUCGCUCAUGGUCAAGCCGCAACAAUGGUUGUGGUGAGGGUAGUGGGUAAAGAAGCGCCGGCUAACUACGUG